This 807-nucleotide ribosomal RNA is filed under the name Paenibacillus larvae. Its description in RNAcentral is "partial 16S ribosomal RNA". It matches the Rfam family "Bacterial small subunit ribosomal RNA", at positions 11 to 794 of the family's 1533-position model. The record is from RNAcentral. Lineage: Bacteria; Bacillati; Bacillota; Bacilli; Caryophanales; Paenibacillaceae.
GUUUGAUCCUGGCUCAGGACGAACGCUGGCGGCGUGCCUAAUACAUGCAAGUCGAGCGGACCUUGUGUUUCUUUCGGGAGACGCCAGGUUAGCGGCGGACGGGUGAGUAACACGUAGGCAACCUGCCUGUAAGACCGGGAUAACUUGCGGAAACGUGAGCUAAUACCGGAUAGCUGGUUUCUUCGCAUGAAGAAGUCAUGAAAGACGGGGCAACCUGUCACUUACAGAUGGGCCUGCGGCGCAUUAGCUAGUUGGUAGGGUAACGGCUUACCAAGGCGACGAUGCGUAGCCGACCUGAGAGGGUGAACGGCCACACUGGGACUGAGACACGGCCCAGACUCCUACGGGAGGCAGCAGUAGGGAAUCUUCCGCAAUGGACGAAAGUCUGACGGAGCAACGCCGCGUGAGUGAUGAAGGUUUUCGGAUCGUAAAGCUCUGUUGCCAAGGANGAACGGCCAGGGGAGUAACUGCCCCUGGAGUGACGGUACUUGAGAAGAAAGCCCCGGCUAGCUACGUGCCAGCACCCGCGGUNAUACGUAGGGGGCAAGCGUUGUCCGGNAUUUNUUGGGCGUAAAGNGNGNGCNGCNGGCGGUCUUUUAAGUCUGGUGUUUNNGCCCGGGGCUCANCCCCGGUUCGCACUGGAAACUGGGAGACUUGAGUGUAGGNGAGGAANGUGGNNUUACCNCGUGUNGCGGUGAAAUGCGUAGGAUGUGGAGGAACACCAGUGGCGAAGGCGGCUUUCUGGCCUAUAACUGACGCUGAGGCGCGNAAGCGUGGGGAGCAAACAGGAUUAGNUACCCUGGUAGU